Molecule: ribosomal RNA, 258 nt
Filed under: uncultured Leptotrichia sp.
Lineage: Bacteria; Fusobacteriati; Fusobacteriota; Fusobacteriia; Fusobacteriales; Leptotrichiaceae
Description: partial 16S ribosomal RNA
Rfam family: Bacterial small subunit ribosomal RNA
Source: RNAcentral
UGGCGGACGGGCGAGUAACGCGUAAAGAACUUGCCCUUUAGACUGGGAUAACAGAGGGAACUUCUGAUAAUACUGGAUAAGUUAGUAUAUCGCAUGAUAUGCAAAUGAAAGCUACGGCACUAAAGGAGAGCUUUGCGUCCUAUUAGCUAGUUGGUAAGGUAAGAGCUUACCAAGGCGAUGAUAGGUAGCCGGCCUGAGAGGGUGGACGGCCACAAGGGGACUGAGAUACGGCCCUUACUCCUACGGGAGGCAGCAGCG